This is a non-coding RNA of Ixodes scapularis (black-legged tick), 347 nucleotides long. NCBI's taxonomy places the organism in Eukaryota, Metazoa, Arthropoda, Arachnida, Ixodida, Ixodidae. The record is from Rfam.
ACCAUCCGUGGGAUUACGACUGAACGCCUCUAAGUCAAAAUCCCGUCUAAGCAGUGCAAUGAUAUCGUGCGCACUUGCAGCGUUUACAGGUGACGUUAGAGUUUCUCGGGUCGAUCGCGGCGGGCCGCCGCGAUUCCCGGCUCGACGACGCCACGUGGACGUGGUGGCAUUAGUCGUUCGCCGAGGUAACGGUGCGAGCGACGCUCCCAUGCAAUCGUUUUUGGUGUGAACCGCUGCGGUGUCAAAUCGUCUGUAGACGACUUAGGUACCUGUCGUGGUGUCGUAAUUAGUAGAGCAGCCACCACACUGCGAUCUAUUGAGGCUUAGCCAUUGACCGGGAGGUUUGU